UACAGAGGGUGCAAGCGUUGUUCGGAAUCAUUGGUCGUAAAGGGCGUGUAGGCGGGAUGGCGUGUCAGAUGUGAAAGCCCUCGGCUCAACCGAGGAAUUGCAUUUGAAACUGCCAUUCUUGAGUACGGGAGAGGAAAGUGGAAUUCCCAGUGUAGAGGUGAAAUUCGUAGAUAUUGGGAGGAACACCGGUGGCGAAGGCGACUUUCUGGACCGAUACUGACGCUGAAACGCGAAAGCGUGGGUAGCAAACAGG
This 253-nucleotide ribosomal RNA is filed under the name uncultured bacterium. Its description in RNAcentral is "partial 16S ribosomal RNA". It matches the Rfam family "Bacterial small subunit ribosomal RNA", at positions 524 to 776 of the family's 1533-position model. The record is from RNAcentral.